This 367-nucleotide RNase P RNA is filed under the name Candidatus Aminicenantota bacterium. RNAcentral's name for it is "Candidatus Aminicenantes bacterium RNase P RNA component class A". It matches the Rfam family "Bacterial RNase P class A". From Rfam's summary of the family: Ribonuclease P (RNase P) is a ubiquitous endoribonuclease, found in archaea, bacteria and eukarya as well as chloroplasts and mitochondria. The record is from RNAcentral. Lineage: Bacteria; Candidatus Aminicenantota.
GGAAACAGAUGAAGAAUCGCUCCAUUCGGAUGGUUAAGAAUGGGGAGGAAAGUCCGGGCUCCACAGGGCAGGAUGGUUCCUAACAGGAACUGCUCACCAAAAAAAGGUGAGUAAGGAAAGUGCCGCAGAGACUAGACUGCCUUCCAUGAUAUGGAGGGUAACGGUGAAAAGGUGAGGUAAGAGCUCACCGUCCCGGUUGGUGACAACCGAGACUAAGGCAAACCCCAUCCGGAGCAAGGCCAGAUAAAAGGUGCUUGAGGCUGGCCCGGCCGAUACCUUUGGGUUAGCCGCUUGAGCAAUUAAGCAAUUAAUUGCCCAGACAAAUGAUUCUUCACGACAGAACCCGGCUUACAGUCUGUUUCCGAGC